This 73-nucleotide transfer RNA is filed under the name Listeria monocytogenes. RNAcentral's name for it is "tRNA-Ile". It matches the Rfam family "tRNA". Rfam says of the family: Transfer RNA (tRNA) molecules are approximately 80 nucleotides in length. Their secondary structure includes four short double-helical elements and three loops (D, anti-codon, and T loops). Further hydrogen bonds mediate the characteristic L-shaped molecular structure. tRNAs have two regions of fundamental functional importance: the anti-codon, which is responsible for specific mRNA codon recognition, and the 3' end, to which the tRNAs corresponding amino acid is attached (by aminoacyl-tRNA synthetases). tRNAs cope with the degeneracy of the genetic code in two manners: having more than one tRNA (with a specific anti-codon) for a particular amino acid; and 'wobble' base-pairing, i.e. permitting non-standard base-pairing at the 3rd anti-codon position. The record is from RNAcentral. Lineage: Bacteria; Bacillati; Bacillota; Bacilli; Caryophanales; Listeriaceae.
GACCUUUAGCUCAGUUGGUUAGAGCAGACGGCUCAUAACCGUCCGGUCGCAGGUUCGAGUCCUGCAAGGUCCA